GUUUGGUUUUGGGUGUUUUUUAUGUAGAACAAUGUAGAACAGCUAUCUUUAGACAUAUGAUUCAAACCUAUAUGCUUAUCUCUGCUUGGCACCGGUCAGAUGACUCCAUCUCUGAGAGUUACACCUUCCCCAUUUCCACCUGACGACAGCACUGGCAAUAUCUCUGGCUGUGCCUGCUCGGCUGCAUUUGCUUUGCCUCCCCUGAGCUGACAUCCCAGCACUGAAUUUUUCAGAAACAGAGGACCCAGGAGGAAAGCCAGCCAAUGUAGGAGACCCAUGUGAGCCUUUCCUGGAUGGAGCACUCACAGAUGGAGACACUGGGGAAACCUGUCCACUUGGUGUCUUCGGCAGACUGUUUCAUCAUAGAAAAUGGCUGCUGUUAU
This 383-nucleotide long non-coding RNA is filed under the name Mus spicilegus (steppe mouse). RNAcentral's name for it is "lncRNA (ENSMSIG00000023658.1)". The record is from RNAcentral. Lineage: Eukaryota; Metazoa; Chordata; Mammalia; Rodentia; Muridae.